AUGAUCACACACAACGCCAUCAUUGCAUUCGAAUGCUUUCACAAGAUCCAACACUCUAGGAAUGUUAGAGAUAAUUACUGCACAUAUAAGCUGGACCUUGCCAAAGCCUACGAUAGAGUGGAUUGGGAUUUCUUGGAAGGAGUGCUUCGAAAGUUUGGUUUCUGCAAGAAGUGGACUGAUUGGGUUAUGCAGCGUGUCUGUACUGUGCGGUACUCAGUGAGAUGCAAUGGAGGACUCUUGGACCCAUUUAUCCCAUCCAGAGGGCUGAGACAAGGGGACCCCCUUAGCCCCUACAUGUUCCUGUUUGUUGCGGAUGUCCUAGUGCACUUGCUAAAAAAGGAAAUUGCUGAAAACAACUUGACACCCAUUAAGAUUGCGAGAAACAGCCCGGGCAUCUCAAACCUCCUCUUCGCGGAUGAUAGUUUGAUUUUGUUCAAGGCCACGACUGAGCAAGCCAAAACCAUCAAAAGAGUGUUAACAACUUUCUAG
RNAcentral lists this ribosomal RNA (489 nucleotides) under Triticum aestivum (bread wheat). RNAcentral's name for it is "partial small subunit ribosomal RNA". Lineage: Eukaryota; Viridiplantae; Streptophyta; Magnoliopsida; Poales; Poaceae. The record is from RNAcentral.